UACGAAGGGGGCUAGCGUUGCUCGGAUUGACUGGGCGUAAAGGGCGCGUAGGCGGUUUGUACAGUCAGACGUGAAAUUCCCGGGCUCAACCUGGGGGCUGCGUUUGAUACGUGCAGACUUGAGUUCGGAAGAGGGUCGUGGAAUUCCCAGUGUAGAGGUGAAAUUCGUAGAUAUUGGGAAGAACACCGGUGGCGAAGGCGGCGACCUGGUCCGAUACUGACGCUGAGGCGCGAAAGCGUGGGGAGCAAACAGG
This 253-nucleotide ribosomal RNA is filed under the name uncultured bacterium. RNAcentral's name for it is "partial 16S ribosomal RNA". It matches the Rfam family "Bacterial small subunit ribosomal RNA", at positions 524 to 776 of the family's 1533-position model. The record is from RNAcentral.